UACGUAGGGUGCAAGCGUUGUCCGGAAUUAUUGGGCGUAAAGGGUGCGUAGGCGGCCUGACAAGUCUGAUGUGAAAUCCCUGGGCUCAACCCAGGGCCUGCAUCGGAAACUGUCGGGCUUGAGUAUGGGAGAGGUGAGUGGAAUUUCCGGUGUAGCGGUGAAAUGCGUAGAUAUCGGAAGGAACACCUGUGGCGAAAGCGGCUCACUGGACCAUUACUGACGCUGAGGCACGAAAGCUAGGGGAGCAAACAGG
RNAcentral lists this ribosomal RNA (253 nucleotides) under uncultured bacterium. RNAcentral's name for it is "partial 16S ribosomal RNA". It matches the Rfam family "Bacterial small subunit ribosomal RNA", at positions 524 to 776 of the family's 1533-position model. The record is from RNAcentral.